This is a long non-coding RNA of Cotesia glomerata, 714 nucleotides long. RefSeq lists it as uncharacterized. Lineage: Eukaryota; Metazoa; Arthropoda; Insecta; Hymenoptera; Braconidae. The record is from RefSeq and is a predicted model, not a curated record. The transcript is spliced from 5 exons.
AAGAAAUAUUUAAAAAAUUUUUAAUCCUGUUUAUAGUUGAGAAAAGAUCGAGAUUGUUUUUUAGUAGAAAAAAAUUAAUAAAUAAUUAGUAGAAAAUAGGCUUAGUGAAAAUAGGCUUAGUGUCAGUGUUUGCACUAUUGAAUCCGCAUAUUAUAUACCAGCAAAUGUAAAGUCGAAGUUGAUAAAAACUGUGCUAUAAUUGAAGUCGGCAGUGAUAGCUACAUUAAUACACAAAACUUGAUACUCACGUAGUGUUUAGUUCAUUGAUGCCAAUCCAUCAUUAAAAUAUGACAGUCUUUCUUCACUAUUGAUUUAUUUUAGUGAUGUGUAUCGUGUUUUUUUCUUCAUAUUUUUCACAAAGUAUCCAAAAAUAGUAAGUAAUAUGCUUGAUGUACUAUCAACAAGGAUUCAAGAAGUUUAAGCUCAUUGGGACUCGAGAAAAAAUGUCAUUCGUGAUACUGAAGAUAAUGUUAAACAUCUUUCACUUUAUGGAUUAAGACGCACAGGCCAGUAAACUCAAAGAAGAAGAAUUAAAAGCAGAGAACAAAUAAGAAAAUUAAGAGAAAAUGCGCUGUUCAAAAUAUAGGAAGCUGAACUUUUUGUUCCUCCUGUACCAAAAAUAUAAUCAUUUAUUUAUUAAUGUUGUCAAACAUUUACACCUACAUCAAGAGGUACAUAACUGGGAAGAAAUUUAUUACUCGUUGAACCGGGCGG